This 655-nucleotide ribosomal RNA is filed under the name uncultured Lachnospiraceae bacterium. RNAcentral's name for it is "bacterial SSU rRNA". It matches the Rfam family "Bacterial small subunit ribosomal RNA", at positions 48 to 736 of the family's 1533-position model. The record is from RNAcentral. Lineage: Bacteria; Bacillati; Bacillota; Clostridia; Lachnospirales; Lachnospiraceae.
AAUUUACAUGAAGCCUAGCGAUUGUAAAUUUAGUGGCGGACGGGUGAGUAACGCGUGGGUAACCUGCCUUGUACUGGGGGACAACAGUUGGAAACGACUGCUAAUACCGCAUAAGCGCACAGCUUCGCAUGAAGCAGUGUGAAAAACUCCGGUGGUACAAGAUGGACCCGCGUCUGAUUAGCUGGUUGGUGAGGUAACGGCCCACCAAGGCGACGAUCAGUAGCCGGCCUGAGAGGGUGAACGGCCACAUUGGGACUGGGACACGGCCCAAACUCCUACGGGAGGCAGCAGUGGGGAAUAUUGCACAAUGGGGGAAACCCUGAUGCAGCAACGCCGCGUGAGUGAAGAAGUAUUUCGGUAUGUAAAGCUCUAUCAGCAGGAAAGAAAAUGACGGUACCUGACUAAGAAGCCCCGGCUAACUACGUGCCAGCAGCCGCGGUAAUACGUAGGGGGCAAGCGUUAUCCGGAUUUACUGGGUGUAAAGGGAGCGUAGACGGUUUUGCAAGUCUGAAGUGAAAGCCCGGGGCUUAACCCCGGGACUGCUUUGGAAACUGUAGGACUAGAGUGCAGGAGAGGUAAGUGGAAUUCCUAGUGUAGCGGUGAAAUGCGUAGAUAUUAGGAGGAACACCAGUGGCGAAGGCGGCUUACUGGACUG